RNAcentral lists this transfer RNA (69 nucleotides) under Eospalax fontanierii baileyi (plateau zokor). RNAcentral describes it as "tRNA-Trp". Lineage: Eukaryota; Metazoa; Chordata; Mammalia; Rodentia; Spalacidae. The record is from RNAcentral. RNAcentral also lists the same sequence under 1 other name.
AGAAGUUUAGGAUAAACAACAGUCCAAGAGCCUUCAAAGCCCUAAGUAAAUUAAACCAUUUAACUUCUG